AACGGUCUAUACCUGCGGUACCUGCGGAGGGAUCAUUAAAAAAGGGUCUUUUGACCCAUUUUUUAAAACUCACUACCAAUUCUAGCCCAACGGGUCAGAUGGAAGUGGGUUUUUUCAAACUCCAAAAAUUUUUAACUAUUCGUCUUUUUGACGAAACCAAAAAUUAAUAAAUAAAACUUUUAACAAUGGAUCUCU
Molecule: unclassified non-coding RNA, 195 nt
Filed under: soil metagenome
Description: partial contains 5.8S ribosomal RNA, internal transcribed spacer 2, and large subunit ribosomal RNA
Source: RNAcentral